Molecule: ribosomal RNA, 554 nt
Filed under: Pseudomonas aeruginosa
Lineage: Bacteria; Pseudomonadati; Pseudomonadota; Gammaproteobacteria; Pseudomonadales; Pseudomonadaceae
Description: bacterial SSU rRNA
Rfam family: Bacterial small subunit ribosomal RNA
Source: RNAcentral
UGCCUGGUAGUGGGGGAUAACGUCCGGAAACGGGCGCUAAUACCGCAUACGUCCUGAGGGAGAAAGUGGGGGAUCUUCGGACCUCACGCUAUCAGAUGAGCCUAGGUCGGAUUAGCUAGUUGGUGGGGUAAAGGCCUACCAAGGCGACGAUCCGUAACUGGUCUGAGAGGAUGAUCAGUCACACUGGAACUGAGACACGGUCCAGACUCCUACGGGAGGCAGCAGUGGGGAAUAUUGGACAAUGGGCGAAAGCCUGAUCCAGCCAUGCCGCGUGUGUGAAGAAGGUCUUCGGAUUGUAAAGCACUUUAAGUUGGGAGGAAGGGCAGUAAGUUAAUACCUUGCUGUUUUGACGUUACCAACAGAAUAAGCACCGGCUAACUUCGUGCCAGCAGCCGCGGUAAUACGAAGGGUGCAAGCGUUAAUCGGAAUUACUGGGCGUAAAGCGCGCGUAGGUGGUUCAGCAAGUUGGAUGUGAAAUCCCCGGGCUCAACCUGGGAACUGCAUCCAAAACUACUGAGCUAGAGUACGGUAGAGGGUGGUGGAAUUUCCUGUGU